AUUCUUCAUAUCUUGCAAAAACAGAAUGAAUUCAACAAAUGUUUGUUUUAUUAUUUAUUGAAGAUGUUUCAAAACCUUUUGUGGCUGUUUUCGUCAGGGGCGGAUUUUCUGGGGGGGUGCAGGGGGGUGCGCACCCCCCCAAAAUUUUCUAGCACCCCCCCAGAAAAAUUCGAAAAUGGCGUGCAUACUGUAGGUUAUUAUUAUUAUAACCUUUAUUUAAAGAAAAUUAUACAUUUAGCAGUAAGAGUACAACUUACUGAUAACUUCAACAAAUGCAAUUAUAUCAUAUGUUAUACUAAGACAAGUAUUUUUAAUUUAUAAAACUAAAUAUACUACGUAAAAAUGUCUAAAGAUUAAAUAUCCAAACGCAUAUUCAAUUUUAAUAAAAAGACCAGAUAAAAAGCUACGACUAAACUAAACUUUCGUGAAAAAACAAUUAGGUAGAAUACUAAGCCUAAAAAUUCAGUGAAAAGGCCAAGUAUAAUACUGUAAAUCUAAGCUACGAGCGCAAGUCUAAUUUUGGCGUGUGAAACGGCUGAAUCGAAACCGAGAACAGUGGCAGAAGACGAACAAAGUCAAAGUGAAUUUCCAGAUCGUUGGUGAGGUUCUGACCAACUUUUAAUUUUAAAAGUGUAUGAACCGGAGAGAGACAAUAAAAUAUGAAAACUUUGUGCUUCGACUUUCUGUUGUUUUGUGAAACACCAGAAAUCAGAAGUUCAUAAAAAUUGCUACGAGAAAUGGAAGGCAAAGGUCCGAAUAUCAGAUGGACAAGAUACAAGUAUACUCGCGAAACUGGUUCCCGACCAAGCGAAAACAACUCGAAACAACAGAGAGUACUUUAAUUUAAACUUCUGUUCCAGUAUGUAAUUUGGUUUGCAAUGAACGAAAUAACAUUCCUGGACCAUGACGAGGCGGCUGAUUCGAAGAACCCAGGUAACUGGAGAACUUUUAUAAAGAUGCAACUGAAGACCAACAAGGAGUUUCGAAG
This 988-nucleotide long non-coding RNA is filed under the name Paramuricea clavata. Lineage: Eukaryota; Metazoa; Cnidaria; Anthozoa; Malacalcyonacea; Plexauridae. The record is from RNAcentral.